RNAcentral lists this transfer RNA (70 nucleotides) under Broscus cephalotes. RNAcentral describes it as "tRNA-Ser". It matches the Rfam family "tRNA". From Rfam's summary of the family: Transfer RNA (tRNA) molecules are approximately 80 nucleotides in length. Their secondary structure includes four short double-helical elements and three loops (D, anti-codon, and T loops). Further hydrogen bonds mediate the characteristic L-shaped molecular structure. tRNAs have two regions of fundamental functional importance: the anti-codon, which is responsible for specific mRNA codon recognition, and the 3' end, to which the tRNAs corresponding amino acid is attached (by aminoacyl-tRNA synthetases). tRNAs cope with the degeneracy of the genetic code in two manners: having more than one tRNA (with a specific anti-codon) for a particular amino acid; and 'wobble' base-pairing, i.e. permitting non-standard base-pairing at the 3rd anti-codon position. Lineage: Eukaryota; Metazoa; Arthropoda; Insecta; Coleoptera; Carabidae. The record is from RNAcentral.
AAUUAAUGAACUUGUUUUAAAGUAUAUGUCUUGAAAACAUAAAAAAAAGGUUAUAAUCCUUUAUUAAUUU